This 254-nucleotide ribosomal RNA is filed under the name uncultured bacterium. RNAcentral describes it as "partial 16S ribosomal RNA". It matches the Rfam family "Bacterial small subunit ribosomal RNA", at positions 524 to 776 of the family's 1533-position model. The record is from RNAcentral.
CACGUAGGGGGCAAGCGUUGUCCGGAUUCAUUGGGCGUAAAGAGCUCGUAGGCGGUUCGAUAAGUCGGGUGUGAAACCUCCAGGCUCAACCUGGAGACGCCACCCGAUACUGUCGUGACUAGAGUCCAGUAGGGGAGUGUGGAAUUCCUGGUGUAGCGGUGAAAUGCGCAGAUAUCAGGAGGAACACCAGUGGCGAAGGCGCCACUCUGGGCCGUAACUGACGCUGAGGAGCGAAAGCGUGGGUAGCAAACAGG